UCGGGGAAUUUUGGGCAAUGGGGGAAACCCGUGACCCAGCAACGCCGCGUGAAGGAUGAAGUAUUUCGGUAUGUAAACUUCGAAAGAAUAGGAAGAAUAAAUGACGGUACUAUUUAUAAGGUCCGGCUAACUACGUGCCAGCAGCCGCGGUAAUACGUAGGGACCAAGCGUUGUUCGGAUUUACUGGGCGUAAAGGGCGCGUAGGCGGCAUGACAAGUCACUUGUGAAAUCUCUGGGCUUAACCCAGAACGGCCAAGUGAUACUGUCGCGCUAGAGUGCAGAAGGGGCAAUCGGAAUUCUUGGUGUAGCGGUGAAAUGCGUAGAUAUCAAGAGGAACACCUGAGGUGAAGACGGGUUGCUGGGCUGACACUGACGCUGAGGCGCGAAAGCCAGGGGAGCAAACGGGAUUAGAUACCCUCGUAGUCCCUGAGCGGGCUGGCAAGGCGCAU
RNAcentral lists this ribosomal RNA (449 nucleotides) under uncultured bacterium. RNAcentral's name for it is "bacterial SSU rRNA". It matches the Rfam family "Bacterial small subunit ribosomal RNA", at positions 354 to 825 of the family's 1533-position model. The record is from RNAcentral.